RNAcentral lists this ribosomal RNA (246 nucleotides) under uncultured Lactobacillus sp. Its description in RNAcentral is "partial 16S ribosomal RNA". It matches the Rfam family "Bacterial small subunit ribosomal RNA", at positions 116 to 354 of the family's 1533-position model. Lineage: Bacteria; Bacillati; Bacillota; Bacilli; Lactobacillales; Lactobacillaceae. The record is from RNAcentral.
CGUAGGUAACCUGCCCAAGAGAUCGGGAUAACACCUGGAAACAGAUGCUAAUACCGGAUAACAACGGAUGAUGCCUAUCAACUGUUUAAAAGAUGGUUCUGCUAUCACUCUUGGAUGGACCUGCGGUGCAUUAGCUAGUUGGUAGGGUAACGGCCUACCAAGGCGAUGAUGCAUAGCCGAGUUGAGAGACUGAUCGGCCACAUUGGGACUGAGACACGGCCCAAACUCCUACGGGAGGCAGCAGAG